GAGGGUAUAGCUCAGUGGGAGAAUGCAUGCUUAGCAUGCAUGAGGUCCUAGGUUCAAUCCCCAGUACCUCCA
This is a transfer RNA of Camelus ferus (Wild Bactrian camel), 72 nucleotides long. It matches the Rfam family "tRNA". From Rfam's summary of the family: Transfer RNA (tRNA) molecules are approximately 80 nucleotides in length. NCBI's taxonomy places the organism in Eukaryota, Metazoa, Chordata, Mammalia, Artiodactyla, Camelidae. The record is from Rfam.